GUGAGGAAUAUUGGUCAAUGGGCGAGAGCCUGAACCAGUCAAGUCGCGUGAAGGAAGAAGGAUCUAUGGUUCGUAAACUUCUUUUGCAGGGGAAUAAAGUGCAGGACGUGUCCUGUUUUGUAUGUACCCUGAGAAUAAGGAUCGGCUAACUCCGUGCCAGCAGCCGCGGUAAUACGGAGGAUCCGAGCGUUAUCCGGAUUUAUUGGGUUUAAAGGGUGCGUAGGUGGGUUGAUAAGUCAGCGGUGAAAGUUUGCAGCUUAACUGUAAAAAUGCCGUUGAAACUGUCGGACUUGAGUGUAAAUGAGGUAGGCGGAAUGCGUGGUGUAGCGGUGAAAUGCAUAGAUAUCACGCAGAACUCCGAUUGCGAAGGCAGCUUACUAAGCUACAACUGACACUGAAGCACGAAAGCGUGGGGAUCAAACAGGAUUAGAAACCCGAGUAGUCC
Molecule: ribosomal RNA, 445 nt
Filed under: uncultured bacterium
Lineage: Bacteria
Description: partial 16S ribosomal RNA
Rfam family: Bacterial small subunit ribosomal RNA
Source: RNAcentral